CGUAACAAGGUUUCUGUAGGUGAACCUGCAGAAGGAUCAUUAGUGAAAGUUUCGGGCCUGCCAUACGGACGCAAACACGUCUCUGGCGCCCAUCACUAUAUCCAUACCAACCCCUGUGCACUGUGAUGACGAAUGUCAUCGAACAAAAAAAAACUCGUAUGGUUGAAUGUACGUGAAAUUGUAGGUAUAGCCUACGAACUAUACACAACUUUCGACAACGGAUCUCUUGGUUCUCCCAUCGAUGAAGAACGCAGCGAAACGCGAUAGGUAAUGUGAAUUGCAGAAUUCCGUGAAUCAUCGAAUCUUUGAACGCACCUUGCGCUCCAUGGUAUUCCGUGGAGCAUGCCUGUUUGAGUGCCGCGAAUUCUCCCUCCCCUUACGGUGGCCGAAAGGCCGAAGUAGGGCGGACGGGGUAGGAUGGGUGUUUGCUGCCUGGGGAUUGUACCAGGCUCGCCCGAAAUGCAUAAGCGCCAGGACCCUCGCUACCGCUCUCUAGGGAAGAGUGGCUAAGCGACCGCUGAGCAUGGCAUGAUACGUCAUUUGCUGUGUGUGGGCGGCCGGUUGGAGAGGUGUCUGCUUUACCAGCCCUAUUUUAAUUCUGGUCUCAAAUCAGGUAGGAUCACCCGCUGAACCUAAGCAU
This 640-nucleotide unclassified non-coding RNA is filed under the name Malassezia sympodialis. Its description in RNAcentral is "sequence contains 18S rRNA gene, ITS1, 5.8S rRNA gene, ITS2, 28S rRNA gene". The stretch from base 207 to 360 matches the Rfam family "5.8S ribosomal RNA". Lineage: Eukaryota; Fungi; Basidiomycota; Malasseziomycetes; Malasseziales; Malasseziaceae. The record is from RNAcentral.